This 548-nucleotide ribosomal RNA is filed under the name uncultured Glomeromycotina. Its description in RNAcentral is "SSU rRNA". It matches the Rfam family "Eukaryotic small subunit ribosomal RNA", at positions 549 to 1097 of the family's 1831-position model. The record is from RNAcentral. Lineage: Eukaryota; Fungi; Glomeromycota.
UGGAGGGCAAGUCUGGUGCCAGCAGCCGCGGUAAUUCCAGCUCCAAUAGCGUAUAUUAAAGUUGUUGCAGUUAAAAAGCUCGUAGUUGAAUUUCGGGAUCAAUGUUUCGGUCAUGCCGUUGGUAUGUACUGAUAUUAUUGAUUUCUCACCUUCUAAAGAACCGUAAUGCCAUUAAUUUGGUGUCACGGGGAAUUAGGACUGUUACCUUGAAAAAAUUAGAGUGUUUAAAGCAGGCUCACGCUUGAAUACAUUAGCAUGGAAUAAUGAAAUAGGACAUCCGAUUCUAUUUUGUUGGUUUCUAGGAUCGAUGUAAUGAUUAAUAGGGAUAGUUGGGGGCAUUAGUAUUCAAUUGUCAGAGGUGAAAUUCUUGGAUUUAUUGAAGACUAACUACUGCGAAAGCAUUUGCCAAGGAUGUUUUCAUUAAUCAAGAACGAAAGUUAGGGGAUCGAAGACGAUCAGAUACCGUCGUAGUCUUAACCAUAAACUAUGCCGACUAGGGAUCGGAUGAUGUUAAUUUUUUAAUGACUCAUUCGGCGCCUUACGGGAAA